This 495-nucleotide ribosomal RNA is filed under the name Triticum aestivum (bread wheat). RNAcentral describes it as "partial small subunit ribosomal RNA". Lineage: Eukaryota; Viridiplantae; Streptophyta; Magnoliopsida; Poales; Poaceae. The record is from RNAcentral.
AUGAAGCAAACACAAGCAGGAAUCAGCAAGAGUCAGAACAGAACCAGCGCCAGGAAUCAUAGAGUUGAGCAAAUUCUCACCUGGAGCUUCUCUUCGAGGAAACCGAGGAUGGUGCCCGGGAUGAUGCCGCGUACGCCCCCGCCGUCGAUGCUCAGGACGGUGACGAUGCUUCCAUACGACGGCGUCGGGGUUCGUGGCGUCGGGAGCAGGCGGCUGGACUCCCGGGGCUCCACCGCCGCCAGGUUGACGGUGAGUGACUUGAGACUCUUCAACUUGGGACACGGCAUUGCUACUGGAUCAGUGGAGGUGGAAAUGGGGAACAGGGGAGAGCAGAACUUCAGAACGGGAACAGAGAAAGAGAGAGAGAGAGAUGUUGCUUGUGAAUUGGAUGUGAUGUGUGCGCCUAUAUAUAAGGUAGGGUGCGCAAUCGCCGGGCUGAAAUUGGACUGGAGACCGCGCGUCUAUUUGGCAAGGCUGGAAACUGAUUUGGGGUAG